UGAUUCAUCUUAUCCAAAACUCCUCCCUUUCCAGCGACGGCAGCGACGGCGGAGCACGAGCAGGUGAGGGGCGGCGCCUUCGUCGGACGGCUAGCCGCGGCGGAGGAGAAGGCGGACGCCAUGGGUGCGGCUACAAACGAGGCGGAGGAGAAGGCGGACGCCGUGGGCUUGCUGCACGGUUACAGCCGAGGCGGAGGAGAAGGCGGACGCCGUGGGCGUUCAUGGAGGAUGGUACGCCGGCCGCCAGUCCUCUCUGGCCUCUUCUGUUGUAUCCUUCUCAACCUCCGCCUGCUCCUAUCGUGAUUUGGAUGGAAAAUUGGAGGCCGGCUGUGUCCUUCUCCAACACAAAUUGAUGUAGUGCCCGACCCGGAUUUGAUUGGCUGCUAUAAGAAGCAAGGGUCCUCGGCCGGAAUCUCCAUCAGUUCGCCGGAGGAACAAGAACGCCCGCCGAGUCCUGUGGUGGCUACACGAGGGGUAUGUAUCCCCUCGAAGCUACGCCACGGCGCGGUAGAGCCUGAAGUUCGUCAAAACUUGACCUGACCGUCACUGACGCCACCUUGCUGCCGCUGUUGCUGGAGAUGAGCUGAAUAGCAAGCUUUGGUUGCCUCUUUGCUUCCACUUUACUGCUCAUCGACUAUCUGUAAUUGUAAAACACCUAAUACGAUUCUUCAGCACUUGAUACUGGUGGUCAUGGUCUUCUUCUCUUAUUGUUGCGAGACUUGGUUUUAGUUAGUAAUCUUGAGAUCAAGUGUACUCAUGGAUUGCUUAGAUGGAGGACCACUGUUGGUUUUGUACUUAGAUGCGAUUGUGAAUCAUGUACGGUUCAAUUCAGAUUCAUGUGGUAUUUUUCCUAAAUUUGUGCCUGCCUGAACAUUAUUACUAUUAAACUAUGAAUAAUGAUUUUUGCAAUUGUAGGAGAAUUUCUUUGCCGCAUCACAAGAAAAACAAUUUGAAACAGAGAACUGUACAGAACCUUCUAAUUAUUGUAUGAACUUGCUUCACUUAAUUUGAACUGCAUAUUUUUCAGUGCAAUUAAGUGCCUGGUGCCACUUGAGAGAAUAAAAGAAUGAUCCCGCAAAAAAAAAGAAUGAUCGGCUAUUUUUUUCACAGAUAUGAUUUAGUCAACACUGAUGUCCGUCUGCAAAAAGCUUAUUCUGAUUUGGAGUUGAUUUUUUUUUCAGGCCCUUAAGAUGAGUGAUGAACAUCCGUUGAGCCGUCCAAUGUUGCCUGUGGCAACUACACCGGAGCCGUCGUCUCCUUUGACUUCACCGCCAUCAUCUCCGUCGACUUCGCCACAAGACAAUCUGCCACCACCUCCGCCGAUUUUGCCGGAAGACCAUCAGCCGUCACCUAGACCUACUUUGGUUCAGAAAAUAGAUGACAACACUGUAACUUAAUAUUACACAGAACAUUGAGGAGGACUUUGAUAACCGACCUUCAAAAAAAGCAAAAAUUUCUGAAUCAAGUGUUCUGGAGCCAUCACCUAUGUCAACAUGUACUCCAGUUUCUGAGUGUUUUGAAUCGAUUGUGCCAAAAUCAGAUAAUUAGAUAGAUCCGUGCUCCAUUGCCAUCACCUCCAUCCCCAUCUAGCUCGACAUUAUCUCAAGAACAUCGGUCGAGCCGUACAAAUGGCGCCUGCAGCGGCUACACCAGAGGUAUUUAUCCCCUUGAUGAAAGCUAAUCACUGCAUGUAAUCCCCUGUUUUAGUUGUUGUUUCUGGCCUGGUUAUACAGGCAGUUUUCAACAGCAGCAGACUAGCAUGCCCAGUCUGAACUUUUAGAAUGUUUUCCCAGUUCAUGUUCAACUUUGAUCCUUUUUUCAGUUAAAGUUCAAAGGAACUUUCCUGUGUGAAUCUGAGAAUCUCACUGAAACUUGUUUCAUUGUGUAUAUUGAGCCUAUCGAGUCGAGUUUCAGACUGAUCGUAGACAGACCUCGGUUUAAGCUGUGAUGCUAAUUUGAUUUGUGUGCUGCACCAUCAUCCAUAUCUUGGAUUUCAAGCAGUUCCAUGGCAAAUCAAAUACAUUUUUUUCUUUGUUUAUGACAGUACAUAUUUGACAGGUUAAAGCAUGUACUGUUGUGAUAAUGAGCACCUUAUAUUGAUAAUGAUCUCCAUUUUGGCUA
This is an RNA transcript of Triticum aestivum (bread wheat), 2121 nucleotides long. It is a transcript of the gene named PX domain-containing protein kinase-like protein, with no coding region annotated. The record is from RefSeq and is a predicted model, not a curated record. Lineage: Eukaryota; Viridiplantae; Streptophyta; Magnoliopsida; Poales; Poaceae. The transcript is spliced from 4 exons.